RNAcentral lists this ribosomal RNA (122 nucleotides) under Castor canadensis (American beaver). The record is from RNAcentral. Lineage: Eukaryota; Metazoa; Chordata; Mammalia; Rodentia; Castoridae.
GUCUAAGGCCAUAUCACCCUGAGUGUGCCCAAUCUCAUCUGGUCUCAGAGCUAAGCAGGGUUGGGCCUGGUUAAUACUUGGAUAGAAGACAGAUCUUUAGAAAGAGACAAGCAGUUUAGAGA